This 301-nucleotide ribosomal RNA is filed under the name uncultured bacterium. RNAcentral's name for it is "partial 16S ribosomal RNA". It matches the Rfam family "Bacterial small subunit ribosomal RNA", at positions 510 to 808 of the family's 1533-position model. The record is from RNAcentral.
AGUAGCCGCGGUAAUACAGAGGGUGCGAGCGUUAAUCGGAUUUACUGGGCGUAAAGCGUGCGUAGGCGGCUUCUUAAGUCGGAUGUGAAAUCCCUGAGCUUAACUUAGGAAUUGCAUUCGAUACUGGGAAGCUAGAGUAUGGGAGAGGAUGGUAGAAUUCCAGGUGUAGCGGUGAAAUGCGUAGAGAUCUGGAGGAAUACCGAUGGCGAAGGCAGCCAUCUGGCCUAAUACUGACGCUGAGGUACGAAAGCAUGGGGAGCAAACAGGAUUAGAUACCCCAGUAGUCCCUGUCUCUUAUACA